Molecule: ribosomal RNA, 422 nt
Filed under: uncultured bacterium
Lineage: Bacteria
Description: bacterial SSU rRNA
Rfam family: Bacterial small subunit ribosomal RNA
Source: RNAcentral
UGAGGAAUAUUGGGCAAUGCCCGAAAGGGUGACCCAGCAACGCCGCGUGGAGGAUGAAGGUCGUAAGAUUGUAAACUCCUGUUAGAGGGGAAGAAUAACUAAGUUUGGAGCUUAGUAUGACUGUACCCUCAGAGAAAGCCCCGGCUAACUACGUGCCAGCAGCCGCGGUAAUACGUAGGGGGCAAGCGUUGUCCGGAUUUACUGGGUGUAAAGGGCGCGCAGGCGGGAUAAAAAGUCAGUGGUGAAAUCCUACAGCUUAACUGUAGAACUGCCUUUGAUACUUUUAUUCCUGAGUUCGGGAGAGAGAGACGGAAUUCCAGGUGUAGUGGUGAAAUACGUAGAUAUCUGGAAGAACACCAGUUGCGAAGGCGGUCUCUUGAUCCGACACUGACGCUGAGGCGCGAAAGCGUGGGGAGCAAACA